RNAcentral lists this ribosomal RNA (253 nucleotides) under uncultured bacterium. RNAcentral's name for it is "partial 16S ribosomal RNA". It matches the Rfam family "Bacterial small subunit ribosomal RNA", at positions 524 to 776 of the family's 1533-position model. The record is from RNAcentral.
UACGGGGGGUGCGAGCGUUGUCCGGAAUCACUGGGCGUAAAGGGCGCGUAGGUGGCGUGAUAAGGGUGUGGUGAAAGCCCGGGGCUCAACCCCGGGUCGGCCAUGCCGACUGUCAGGCUUGAGUACUGUAGGGGCAGGCGGAAUUCCGGGUGUAGCGGUGAAAUGCGUAGAUAUCUGGAGGAACACCGGUGGCGAAGGCGGCAUCCUGGACCGACAUUGACGCUGAGGAGCGAAAGCUAGGGGAGCAAACGGG